UCUAUGAAUAUCACAGAAACCUGAAUCAGGCGGAGCGCUGGUGUCUAUCCUUUUGUUAUUUACGCUUCGUCUCGCUCUAUCGAGACGAUAAAAAUGUGGAAGUGUUUCGGCUUACGAGCCGAGUUUUGG
Molecule: long non-coding RNA, 129 nt
Organism: Trachymyrmex septentrionalis
Lineage: Eukaryota; Metazoa; Arthropoda; Insecta; Hymenoptera; Formicidae
Exons: 3
Source: RefSeq, a predicted model, not a curated record